GUUGAAGAGAGACAUCCAUUAAAACAAGGAUUGAAAC
This is a non-coding RNA of Parcubacteria bacterium 32_520, 37 nucleotides long. The record is from Rfam. NCBI's taxonomy places the organism in Bacteria, Candidatus Parcubacteria.